GGACUGUAUACAUCGCGUUCUUGGAUUAACUUAUGCCAUUGUUUGUCAUGGUUGUUGAGAUCCAUGUGCUUACAGGAGACACGCGGUGUUUCUUAAUUCAUAACGAUGGGGAUGCUGACUGCACGGGAAAUUGUUCAGCUGAUAAUAAAUCUGAUAGGUUAAGGUUCUUGUCUGGUUCCUUUUUACUUCAUUAUCUAAUGAGGUUUUUGGCUUUAUCCUUGAAGCUAAUUUGAGUUCUGAGCUAUUCAUUUACA
This 254-nucleotide long non-coding RNA is filed under the name Daucus carota (carrot). Its description in RNAcentral is "long non-coding RNA (DCAR_LNC003268)". Lineage: Eukaryota; Viridiplantae; Streptophyta; Magnoliopsida; Apiales; Apiaceae. The record is from RNAcentral.